CACGCUGUAAACGAUGAAUGCUAGGUGUUAGGGGUUUCAAUACCCUUGGUGCCGAAGUUAACACAUUAAGCAUUCCGCCUGGGGANCAACGCGAAGAACCUUACCAGGUCUUGACAUCCUCUUGAAUAUUCCAGAGAUGGGGUAGGCUUUCGGGACAAGAGAGACAGGUGG
RNAcentral lists this ribosomal RNA (171 nucleotides) under uncultured bacterium. Its description in RNAcentral is "partial 16S ribosomal RNA". It matches the Rfam family "Bacterial small subunit ribosomal RNA", at positions 796 to 1041 of the family's 1533-position model. The record is from RNAcentral.